GGCCGCGUGGUCUAGUGGUAUGAUACUCGCUUUGGGCAUGUGAGUGGUCCAGGGUUCAAUUCCCUGCUCGGCCC
This 74-nucleotide transfer RNA is filed under the name Petasospora fabianii. Its description in RNAcentral is "Cyberlindnera fabianii tRNA-Pro (TGG) cove score=56.68". It matches the Rfam family "tRNA". Rfam says of the family: Transfer RNA (tRNA) molecules are approximately 80 nucleotides in length. Their secondary structure includes four short double-helical elements and three loops (D, anti-codon, and T loops). Lineage: Eukaryota; Fungi; Ascomycota; Saccharomycetes; Phaffomycetales; Wickerhamomycetaceae. The record is from RNAcentral.